GCCUUCGUCGUGCAGUGGUCAGCACGCUGGACGCGUCUUCCAGAGGUCCGUGGUUCGAGUCCCAGCGAAGGCG
RNAcentral lists this transfer RNA (73 nucleotides) under Stegodyphus mimosarum. It matches the Rfam family "tRNA". From Rfam's summary of the family: Transfer RNA (tRNA) molecules are approximately 80 nucleotides in length. Their secondary structure includes four short double-helical elements and three loops (D, anti-codon, and T loops). Further hydrogen bonds mediate the characteristic L-shaped molecular structure. tRNAs have two regions of fundamental functional importance: the anti-codon, which is responsible for specific mRNA codon recognition, and the 3' end, to which the tRNAs corresponding amino acid is attached (by aminoacyl-tRNA synthetases). tRNAs cope with the degeneracy of the genetic code in two manners: having more than one tRNA (with a specific anti-codon) for a particular amino acid; and 'wobble' base-pairing, i.e. permitting non-standard base-pairing at the 3rd anti-codon position. The record is from Rfam by way of RNAcentral. Lineage: Eukaryota; Metazoa; Arthropoda; Arachnida; Araneae; Eresidae.